This 106-nucleotide Y RNA is filed under the name Colobus angolensis palliatus. RNAcentral describes it as "Y RNA (ENSCANG00000010580.1)". It matches the Rfam family "Y RNA". From Rfam's summary of the family: Y RNAs are components of the Ro ribonucleoprotein particle (Ro RNP), in association with Ro60 and La proteins. The Y RNAs and Ro60 and La proteins are well conserved, but the function of the Ro RNP is not known. In humans the RNA component can be one of four small RNAs -- hY1, hY3, hY4 and hY5. Lineage: Eukaryota; Metazoa; Chordata; Mammalia; Primates; Cercopithecidae. The record is from Rfam by way of RNAcentral.
GGCUGCUCCAAAGGUAGUGAGUUCUUGAUUGUUUACAGUCAGUUACGGAUGGAACUCCUUGUUCUACUUUUCCCCCCUUCUCACUACUGCACUUGACUAGUCUUAU